RNAcentral lists this ribosomal RNA (465 nucleotides) under uncultured bacterium. RNAcentral describes it as "partial 16S ribosomal RNA". It matches the Rfam family "Bacterial small subunit ribosomal RNA", at positions 28 to 507 of the family's 1533-position model. The record is from RNAcentral.
GACGAACGCUGGCGGCGUGCUUAACACAUGCAAGUCGAACGGAAAGACCCUGCUUGCAGGGUACUCGAGUGGCGAACGGGUGAGUAACACGUGGGUGAUCUGCCCUGCACUUCGGGAUAAGCCUGGGAAACUGGGUCUAAUACCGGAUAGGAGCCAUUUUUAGUGUGAUGGUUGGAAAGUUUUUUCGGUGUAGGAUGAGCUCGCGGCCUAUCAGCUUGUUGGUGGGGUAAUGGCCUACCAAGGCGGCGACGGGUAGCCGGCCUGAGAGGGUGGACGGCCACAUUGGGACUGAGAUACGGCCCAGACUCCUACGGGAGGCAGCAGUGGGGAAUAUUGCACAAUGGGCGCAAGCCUGAUGCAGCGACGCCGCGUGGGGGAUGACGGCCUUCGGGUUGUAAACUCCUUUCGCUAGGGACGAAGCUUUUUGUGACGGUACCUAGAUAAGAAGCACCGGCUAACUACGUG